GGAUGUGAGGGCCUACAACACUUGUCCCAUCGAUCCCCAGAGUUGAUUGGGUGGAUCUGGCUGGCUAGGUAGCUGCUCUCUUACUUCCUCCCCACUCCAUAUGCGUCCAUCCUGGAGCUGCCAACUUGUUCUCCCGCAGUAGCUGUGAACUGGUGAGGUGACAUGUGCAGCCCAGGGGUUACGAGCAGCUGUGCUCCCAUGCUGGGGCUCCAGACAAGCUCAAGACAUUGGGCAAUCAUUUAUUAUUCAAAAGAAAAGUCUGAGCAAU
This 268-nucleotide small nuclear RNA is filed under the name Rattus norvegicus (Norway rat). RNAcentral describes it as "7SK RNA". It matches the Rfam family "7SK RNA". Rfam says of the family: 7SK was discovered as an abundant small nuclear RNA in the mid-70s but a possible function has only recently been suggested. Two independent studies have found that 7SK RNA binds the CDK9/cyclin T complex (known as elongation factor P-TEFb). Lineage: Eukaryota; Metazoa; Chordata; Mammalia; Rodentia; Muridae. The record is from Rfam by way of RNAcentral.